Molecule: ribosomal RNA, 394 nt
Filed under: uncultured bacterium
Lineage: Bacteria
Description: bacterial SSU rRNA
Rfam family: Bacterial small subunit ribosomal RNA
Source: RNAcentral
AUUGAACGCUGGCGGCAUGCCUUACACAUGCAAGUCGAACGGCAGCGGACCUUCGGGUGCCGGCGAGUGGCGAACGGGUGAGUAAUGCAUCGGAACGUGCCAUUGAGUGGGGGAUAACGUAGCGAAAGUUACGCUAAUACCGCAUAUUCUGUGAGCAGGAAAGCAGGGGACCGCAAGGCCUUGCGCUCUUUGAGCGGCCGAUGUCAGAUUAGCUAGUUGGUGAGGUAAAGGCUUACCAAGGCGACGAUCUGUAGCGGGUCUGAGAGGAUGAUCCGCCACACUGGAACUGAGACACGGUCCAGACUCCUACGGGAGGCAGCAGUGGGGAAUUUUGGACAAUGGGCGCAAGCCUGAUCCAGCCAUGCCGCGUGAGUGAAGAAGGCCUCGGUUGUAA